This is a long non-coding RNA of Toxorhynchites rutilus septentrionalis, 826 nucleotides long. RefSeq lists it as uncharacterized. NCBI's taxonomy places the organism in Eukaryota, Metazoa, Arthropoda, Insecta, Diptera, Culicidae. The record is from RefSeq and is a predicted model, not a curated record. The transcript is spliced from 3 exons.
CUAUACUAUAGGUGGACCGCAAUGUCAAAAUUGCUGUUCGGCCAUUGCUCGUGAAAAAACAAAUUUGUUUACAAAACAUAUCAUAUCUUUUGGUGACAAAUGCAUUCGUCGGCAAAAUAGCUGCUCGCGCUUUACUGUAGAUAUCUACAAUCAGCGGUCGAAUUAAAAACAGUGCAGAAGGAUGUUUUGAGUAUGUUUUAGCUUCUAGCCGCGCAAUCAAUGCUUUUUUUCCAAGCAAGAUGUACUUCUGUUUGGAUCCUAUCGGCGGGGAAAAAAGUACUUACGGCGACGGUGACAAGAAAUAGCGCUGAUUGCGAGAUUACCAGAUCCAGAAGAUCCGGAAGGGCUGUUACAAGUAAUUGGUUUUGCUAGAGCAAAAGGAGGUUGACAAUGAUUGCAACAGGUGAAAUAAACUGUUGGAAUCACGACUAUCGAUCACGCCAGAAGAUCCGGAAAGAGUUGUUUUUGUUUUUCGUUAUGCGGACCUUGUUUCCGCAUCCUUUUACUGCACAAUAAUACGGCAUCUGAAGAAAAUAAGAUAUUCACAAUAUAAUUUUGGCAUGAUAGAGAACCGCGAGAUGAACGAUUAUCUGUGGAGGAGUUGGACAACAGAUUUCUUAGACUUAUAGCACUUUAAUCACACUCACAAGCUCUUCAAAUCCUCACUGUCCCCCAAAACUAUUGAAUAAUAUGUAAUAUAAAUACCUUAUUGCAGCUCUAGUACACUAUUUUUCACGAAUAUAUAUUUGCUUAUUUCUUUCUUCAGUUGUUUUCCUCAGCGAGUUGAUAUGAAACCAUAACGACACAACCAAACAAAAAGUAAACA